UCCACUGCUGUGUGUCUUGCUUGCCUGCCUCUGCUACCAAGUUUGUUGGAUUAUCCUUUUGUUUUGUCUCCCCUGGAUCAUUUGUUAUGGACUGUUUUUGCUGCUCUGCGGACAACCUUAGUUUGGACUCUGCUACUCAUCAGGCAUGCAGACCAGCAAAAGUUUAAAAGUCCAAACAACAACAACAAGUAUUUAUUGGGGAGAAACAAUUCUAAUCAAUUCCAAACGGAAAAUGUUUUUUUGCAAAACCAUAGCCUACAUGGCGGUGUAAAACUACUCUUCACAAAUAAAAAAUAAAAAACCCGAGGGAGACACACGCUCUCUUCAAGGGACCAUAAAA
Long non-coding RNA from Micropterus salmoides (largemouth bass), 340 nucleotides. RefSeq lists it as uncharacterized. The transcript has 2 exons. Lineage: Eukaryota; Metazoa; Chordata; Actinopteri; Centrarchiformes; Centrarchidae. The record is from RefSeq and is a predicted model, not a curated record.